Molecule: ribosomal RNA, 253 nt
Filed under: uncultured bacterium
Lineage: Bacteria
Description: partial 16S ribosomal RNA
Rfam family: Bacterial small subunit ribosomal RNA
Source: RNAcentral
UACGUAGGGUGCGAGCGUUGUCCGGAAUUAUUGGGCGUAAAGAGCGUGUAGGCGGUCCGGUAAGUCCGCUGUGAAAGUCGGGGGCUCAACCCUCGAAUGCCGGUGGAUACUGUCGGGCUAGAGUGCGGAAGAGGCGAGUGGAAUUCCUGGUGUAGCGGUGAAAUGCGCAGAUAUCAGGAGGAACACCGGUGGCGAAGGCGGGUCUCUGGGCCGAUACUGACGCUGAGGAGCGAAAGCGUGGGGAGCGAACAGG